AGUCAUAUGCUUGUCUCAAAGAUUAAGCCAUGCAUGUCUAAGUACAAACUAUAUUAAAGUGAAACCGCGAAAGGCUCAUUAAAUCAGUUAUGGUUCCUUAGAUCGUACCAGAAUUACUUGGAUAACUGUGGUAAUUCUAGAGCUAAUACAUGCAAACAGAGCUCUGACCGGAGACGGAAGGAGUGCUUUUAUUAGAUCAAAACCAAUCGGCGGCGGUAACGUUUCGGCGUUAUUCCGUUCGUCGCUUAAAUUAUAUGGUGAAUCUGAAUAACUUUAUGCUGAUCGCAUGGUCUUGUACCGGCGACGCAUCUUUCAAAUGUCUGCCUUAUCAACUGUCGAUGGUAGGAUCUGCGCCUACCAUGGUUGUAACGGGUAACGGGGAAUCAGGGUUCGAUUCCGGAGAGGGAGCCUGAGAAACGGCUACCACAUCCAAGGAAGGCAGCAGGCGCGCAAAUUACCCACUCCCGGCACGGGGAGGUAGUGACGAAAAAUAACGAUACGGGACUCAUCCGAGGCCCCGUAAUCGGAAUGAGUACACUUUAAAUCCUUUAACGAGGACCAAUUGGAGGGCAAGUCUGGUGCCAGCAGCCGCGGUAAUUCCAGCUCCAAUAGCGUAU
This 617-nucleotide ribosomal RNA is filed under the name Eudromus striaticollis. RNAcentral's name for it is "SSU rRNA". It matches the Rfam family "Eukaryotic small subunit ribosomal RNA", at positions 22 to 602 of the family's 1831-position model. The record is from RNAcentral. Lineage: Eukaryota; Metazoa; Arthropoda; Insecta; Coleoptera; Carabidae.